This is a long non-coding RNA of Anopheles stephensi (Asian malaria mosquito), 406 nucleotides long. RefSeq lists it as uncharacterized. NCBI's taxonomy places the organism in Eukaryota, Metazoa, Arthropoda, Insecta, Diptera, Culicidae. The transcript is spliced from 2 exons. The record is from RefSeq and is a predicted model, not a curated record.
UCCACUCGGGUGCAGUACAGUAAUUAGAUUUAACUCCAGCACAGAACUGUUGUGCAAGAUGAACACAAUGGUACGGUUAACAAGUUAGAAUAGGAUGUUGAUUUUUCCUGCAAAUGCUAGAAGUAUUGCCAGUCUUCAUACUGCAGGACCGGGGUUCAAAUCCCAUCUGGACUGUACCCUCCAUAGUGAAGAUUGAUUAAGUCUAGCUGGCCAGAAAUAGCAUGCGUGACCCUAAGAGGUCGUUUUGCCAGUGGAGAAAAAGAAGAGGACAAGAGACAACUACAAUGAGUGUCAUCUCCUACAAGUUAUUUGAAAUUGAUCGUUGCUUUAAAUUUAAUUAGAAGCAUGAAUAUUAUAUUUUAAGAAAUAACACAAUAAACCCUUUUUGAAGAUAGUUUUAAGCAAU